Molecule: long non-coding RNA, 15333 nt
Filed under: Populus tremula
Lineage: Eukaryota; Viridiplantae; Streptophyta; Magnoliopsida; Malpighiales; Salicaceae
Description: long non-coding RNA (PTRE_LNC000562)
Source: RNAcentral
AAAACACAAAAGCUAUUUUAUUGCAUAACUUGUAUGAAUAACUAGAAAAAAUUAUCAUAUUUCUUAUUAAAAUCAAAUUCAGUACAAUAUUGAUCCCAAUAUAGACAUGGAUAUAUGAUGCUCAAACCAAUUACAUAUCUCUAGCUAAUUAAUCCCAUGGUGUCCCUUUCCUUUCCCUUUUCUCGAGGAGAGUGGAAGAGGUGGGAUGCUCUGCUCAUGCCUGAAGAAGUUGUCGGGAUCAACUUUGGUCUUGGCUUGUACCAACCUGUUGAAGUUGUUCUUGAAGUACUUGGUACCCCAGACACUUGCUUCUUUAACGCUUGUGUUCCUUUUCUUGUUCAUCCCCAGAUCGAGGUCCCUGUAAUUGACAUAUGCUUGCCUUGGAAACAUGGAAACAUAAGGUGCCAUGUAGUUGUAAAGGUUCCUGAUCCAAUCUAUAUGCUUUGAAGUAGGGGUGUUAAAAAAAACCGACCAACCGAUUAAACCGAAAAAACCGAAAAAAAAUUAACCGAAAAGCCGAACCGAUAAAAAAACCCGAAUAAACCGAUUAAAAAAUAAAAAAAACCGACUGGUCCGGUUCGGGUCCGGUUUAAAAAAGCUUAAACCGAUUGAACUGGACCAAACCGAACCGGUUUAAUUAUAUCUAAAAAAAGAGUAUAAAAAGAAAAUCUUAACCCUAAAACUAAAUACCCUAACCCUCACAGCAACCCCCCCCUCCUUUCCCCCCUUCCCCCCCUCUCUUUCCCCUUUCCUUUUCCCAUAACCUUAAUAGUCGCCCCUCUCCUUUUCCCCCUUCCCCCCCUCUCUUUCCCCCUUCCUUUUCCCACUCUACCUUUCGAGUUUUCUUCCUCCCCCCCUUCCAAGUUGUGUAGUAGGUCAAGGAGAAAACAAGGAUCCAACGCAGAGUAGGUUCAAUAAAUUUUCUCUGUUUGCUUCCAUUUAUCAUGGGGUUUUCAUUUGCUGAGAGGCACAUAGGAUGGAAGCUAUAAUCUGUUAACACGUGAUGGAUGUGAAGUUGUGUUCUUCGAGGCUAUAUGUGAAUCGGAUGGAUUCCCCCACUUGUGAAGAUGGCCAUCAGAAAAUAAUGAUGAUUUUGGCCGCUACAAACUUUUCCUGGGACAUAGAUGAGGCACUAAGAUUGUUUCAUUGUCUUCUUGUAAAUAUUUUUGAGAUUUUUUUGUUUUAUGGAAGCCUUAGAUUCAUCUUAAAUGGCAAUCUAUCGAAGAUGUAGUACACCAUCUCGUUCCUUCAUUGGCACAAAGCCCAGAUUAAGGUAUACAACAGCAGCAACAAAAAUGCUUCGGUUUUUCUGGUUGUUGGAUGCUAAAAACCGACCCGAACCGAACAAAACCGAUUCGGUUUGAACUGGUUCUCGGUUCGGUUCGAGUUAUAUGAACAAGGACUAUUAAUUUUUGGUUUGGUUGAAUUUUUGGGUUAAAACCGGACCGGACCGGACCGUGAACACCCCUACUUUGAAGCAUCCUCUGAAGGAGUUUGCCAGCCGGUCAAGUACUGGAUCUUGAAGAGGAUACCUUUUCUGUGCGGGAAAGGAAUUGAUGACUCUGAAAUCUUGCUCAUCAUUCCAUCGUAAGGAUUCCAUAUCAGGAAAGGAGUCACUUCUUGAAAAUACCUUUUCCAUAUCCCCUCUAGUGCGGUUUCAGGUAUGGGAUGUUGGACAAACUCUGGCUUGGCUUUGAAGUAGACCUUGAAUGUUGACUUUCCUUGCAGCAGAACUUCAGGAGGUGUAUUUGUUAAGGAAAUCAAGCACUGAUUAGGCAACCAAAUCAGCACUGAAUAGGCAGCAAAUUUGUAAUUGAACAGUUAAUUAUUUGUUUCCUUGUUUGUAAAUAAUUAGGCUUGAUUAUAGGCAAUAGUGCAGGAUCCUGAUGUAGAACUAUCAGUAUAUAUAUUGUAAUCUUUUCAUUGAUUGAAAUAAUAAGAAGAAUAUUAUUUCUCUUCAUGGUAUCAGAGCAAUAGUCUAGGUAUCAAAAUAAAACACAAAGCCUUCAGCUGACUCCUAUGGCAGACCAAGGAAGCACAGCAGCAGGCGCAAGAUGGGAUCAUCCCAAUCAUCAACUUUAUCUUCAUCAUUCAGACCAACCUGGCACUGUUCUUGUGCCACAAUCCUUGGUUGAAGACAACUAUAGUACAUGGAGCCAAUCCAUGACUAUGGCUUUGACAGUUAAAAAUAAGAUUGGGUUCAUAGAUGGCUCAAUGAAGGAGCCUGAUGAGAAGAAGUUUGAUGAACAUCAACAAUGGAACCGAUGCAAUAGUCUGGUGAAAACUUGGCUAUUAGGAUCCAUGUCCAAAGAAAUUGCCACAAGUGUCAUCAACUGCAAAGAUGCCAGACAGAUGUGGCUUGACUUACAGGAACAAUUCUCGCAUGUAAAUGUGGUUCAACUAUUUAAUGUUGAGAAUGAAAUUCAUGACUAUAUGCAAGGAAACAUGUCUGUAGGGUCUUACUUCACAAAGCUAAAGGGCCUAUGGGAUGAACGUGAUGCACUUUGUACUUUUCCAACAUGCACUUGUGGGGCAAUCAAAGAAGUAGCUGCAUAUAUGGAGACAUAGAAAACCAUGAAAUUCCUCAUGGGUCUUAAUGAUUCAUACGUAGGUGUUCGCAGCAACACUUUGUUACAAGAUCCACUACCCACAGUAAACAAAGCAUAUUCACUGGUCAUUCACCAUGAGAAACAGUCAGAGGUGACAACCGGGAAAAGCCAUGCUCAGCCUGAGGCUGCUGUCUUCGCAACAAGGAAUUCAACCUAUGAGAUUGAAGCUGAACUGAGAUGCUUCAAGUGUAACAGAACAAACCACACUGCCAAGGAUUGCCGUGCACAUCUCAGAUACACCUUUUGUCGCUGGAAGGGACAUACAGCAAAAUAUUGUCGUAAAAAGAAAGCAGUGACUAAAGCUGAGUUUAAUGCGACAAUUUCCAAAGGCAACCAAGUGGCAUCACACAAGAAUGAAAGAAAUGAGAUGAGUUUUCCCUUCAUAGCUGAAGAAUGCAAACAGAUACUCGGCAUACUAAAGAAUAAAACAACUUCUGCCAAUCAUGUUAGUAACUGCCCAACUCAUGAUGAACUCUCGGGUAAGGUUUUUUCACUCAUUUCUAAUGGCAACAGAAGUACAUGGAUUUUGGAUAGUGGAUGCACAGAUCAUAUGAUUUCUGAUCAAAACCUGUUCACAUACUCAAGACCUGUCAAUGGCCGCACUGUUGAAUUACCAAAUGGGUCAAUAACACAAGUAACUCAUAUUGGCAGAGUUCACCUAUCCUCUGAUUUAAUUCUUGACAAUGUUUUGUGUGUCCCAUAUUUCCGAUUGAACUUGAUUUCAAUUAGCAAGCUUGCAUCCGAUUCCUCUUGUAUAACCAUCUUUCUAAGCCAGUUUUGUGUGAUUCAGAACCUACGUUCGGGGAAGAUGAUUGGGACGAGAAUUGAAAGGGAGGGUCUAUAUGUUCUCGACCAAGCCAAGAAAUGAACAUGCAACCAUGCCCAAACUCUUCAUCCGAACCUUUGGCAUCAACGUCUUGGACAUCCCUCAACCAAAGUAUCCCAGUUAUUUCCUAAAGUUAAUUCUUGUUCUCAUGACAAAUGUUUAAUUUGUCCAUUAGCAAAACAAACAAGACUUCCAUUUUCUUCAAGUUCCAUUACCAGUACAUCUCCAUUUGAUUUAAUCCAUGUUGACAUUUGGGGUGGUUAUAAAGUUGCUUCUAUUUCAGGUGCAAAAUAUUUUCUCACUAUCGUUGAUGAUCACACUAGAUGCACAUGGAUUUAUCUUAUGAAACACAAAUCAGACACUAAGGAUCUUCUAGUCAACUUCAUCAACAUGGUUGAAAAUCAAUUUGAUUUCAAGGUCAAAAUUAUUCGUAGUGACAAUGGUCUUGAAUUCAAACUCGAAAGCUUUUACGCUAAUAAAGGUAUCAUUCACCAAACUAGUUGUAUUAAUACUCCACAAAAAAAUGGUGUUGCCGAACGUAAACAUAGACAUUUGUUAAAUAUGGCACGUACCUUACUUAUUCAGGCCGGUCUUUCUCAUCAAUUUUAGGGGGAUGCUAUUCCUGCUUCCGCUUACCUCAUCAAUCGCACACCAACCCCUAUUCUCCACGGAAAGACACCAUAUGAAUUCCAAGCUGCUUUGAGCAAAUAACAGCAGCUUGGAUGUGAGAUUCCUGUAAUGGAGUGAAUAUAAACUCUGGUUUUGGUAGUGAAGGCGCUAUGAAUCUGAGGUUUUGAGCAGAAGAUUGCAGAAUAGUAGUGUAUGAAAAGUCAAGGCCGUGCAUCUCAUGAGUCUGGGCUUCUUGAUCAAUCUAAUCAAAUUCGUCGCGCGUCUAGGGCACAAAAACAGUAAUACCUUUGCCCUAUGACAUUCCUACAUGUGAUGUCUCUCUUUUAAAGCCCAAGUACUAUUGCUUUUUUUUUCUUCGUAUUAUAGGCUUUUUGUUAUUACAAAGUUGAUUAAAAGCAAUUUGUUAUUUUAAUAAAUAUAAAAUAAUAUUUUAAUACAACAAUUAUUGAUAUUUACAACUCAUAGCACGUGAAAAGCGUUCAUGUUCUUUUAACAGCUUAUGUUAUACCUUUAGCGGUCAAAUACUCUCUUUCACCUAGUGGGGCAACAAAUAAAGGUGAAGGAGGCACAAGAUGGUUUUCUUUUUUUCUUUUUUUUUCUCUUUUUUUCUAUCAAAGAUUAUACUGGUUAUUCAAAUUUUCAAAAUUGUCCUCUUUUGUUAUUGAUAUUUCAACAUUGAUAAUUAUUUUUUAUUUCAAUUUUUUGUCUAGUCCCUUUUAUAAAAUUUUAUUUUUCAAUCUUAAUUUGUUAUGUAAUAUAUUUCUUUUCAAUUUAAUGUUUAUUCUUUUGAUUUUUUUUAUUGACCCUUUUGUGCAAUUUUUAUUUGCUUUUAUUUUUUUUUCAAUUUCAUUUUUUUUAAAUAAGCUUUGUGAUUUCCUUUAUUUUUUUUAUUGAAUUAUCUCAAUCUCAUGAUUUGGACUUUAUAUUUGACAGGUUAACCUUAUUCGACUCAUCUCUUAUUAUCUAAAUUACAAGUUUUUUAUGUUAACUCGCUUUGACUAAGAAUUGAGAUGCAUCGUUUUUUACCCAAUUACGUCCUUCCAUAUUUAUUGACUAAGAAUUAAGAUGCAUUAUUUUUUUCCUUAAAAAAAAAGGUUUCUUUUCCAAGUUAUCAUGAUUAUUUUUUGUAAAUGAUUUAUUUACUAUUAUUUCUUUUUAUAUCAUCUAAUUAAAAUAAAACAAACUUAAUUGAUCUAAUCGAGUUUAUAACUCGAUUCAUGAAUUUUAUUUUAAAAAAAUAUGUUUACAACACCUUAAUAUAUAUUUUAAAAAGAAGAUAAUAAUUUAGCAUUGUAGCAUAACAUACAUCAUGUAGAGUGUAUAAAUAUAUAAAGAUAGAAUAUCUUUAAAUUCUACACUACAAGAACAAAAUUUGGUUGCAUAUUAUAUUGUUUUUAAUUUUUAUAAAAUAAAAUAAAAAUAAUAAGAUUUAAAUUCAUGAAAGUUUAAUCAAUAAAUAAUUACCUUUGAAAGAUGAAAUUUAGCCUCAUGAAAUUCAGCUUGUCAAUUUUACAAUGGUCCUAAACGUCAAAAUCUCGAAACCAUCUUCUCAUUAACACCAUGUUAUCUUUUGCAACAGCUCUUAAUCUCAUGAUAGGAAUAUUGCACAAUGAAGGACAACAAUUGUCUACCAGUGUUCAUCAAUUGUCCUAUUCAUUGACCCUUUUGUGCAAUUUUUAUUUGCCUUUAUUUUUUUUUCAAUUUUUUUUUUAAUAAGCUUUGUGAUUUCCUUCAUUUAUUUUAUUGAAUUAUCUCAAUCUAAUGAUUUGGACUUUAUAUUUGACACGUUAAUCUUAUUCGACUCACCUCUUAUUAUCUAGAUUACAAUUUUUUUAUGUUAACUCGCUUUGACUAAGAAUUGAGAUGCAUCGUUUUUUACCCAAUUACGUCCUUCCAUAUUUAUUGACUAAGAAUUAAGAUGCAUUAUUUUUAUCCUUUAAAAAAAAAGGUUUCUUUUCCAAGUUAUCAUGAUUAUUUUUUGUAAAUGAUUUAUUUACUAUUAUUUAUUUUUAUAUCAUCUAAUUAAAAUAAAACAAACUUAAUUGAUCUAAUCCAGUUUAUAACUUGAUUCAUGAAUUUUAUUUUAAAAAAAAUAUAUUUACAACACCUUAAUAUAUAUUUUAAGAAGGUAAUAAUUUAGCACUGCAGCAUAACAUAAAUCAUGUAGAGUGUAUGAAUAUAUAAAGAUAGAAUAUCUUUAAAUUCUAAACUACACCAACAAAAUUUGGUUACGUAUUAUAUUGUUUUUAAUUUUUAUAAAAUAAAAUAAAAAUAAUAAGAUUUAAAUUCAUGAAAGUUUAAUCAAUAAAUGAUUACCUUUGAAAGAUGAAAUUUAGCCUCAUGAAAUUCAGUUUGCCACUUUUACAAUGGUCCUAAACGUCAAAAUCUCGAAACCAUCUUCUCAUUAACACCAUGUUAUCUUUUGCAACAGCUCUUAAUCUCGUGAUAGGAACAUUGCACAAUUGAAGGACAACAAUUAUCUACAAGUGUUCAUCAAUUGUCCUAUUCAUUGACCCUUUUGUGCAAUUUUUAUUUGCUUUUAUUUUUUUUUUCUAUUUUUUUUUUAAAUAAGCUUUGUGAUUUCCUUCAUUUUUUUAUUUAAUUAUCUCAAUCUCAUGAUUUGGGCUUUAUAUUUGACAGGUUAACCUUAUUCGACUCACCUCUUAUUAUCUAGAUUACAAUUUUUUAUGUUAACUCGCUUUGAUAAGAAUUGAGAUGCAUCGUUUUUACCCAAACGUCCUUCCAUAUUUAUUGACUAAGAAUUAAGAUGCAUUAUUUUUUUCCUUAAAAACAAAGGUUUCUUUUCCAAGUUAUCAUGAUUAUUUUUUUGUAAAUGAUUUAUUUACUAUUAUUGCUUUUUAUAUCAUCUAAUUAAAAUAAAACAAACUUAAUUGAUCUAAUCGAGUUUAUAACUCGAUUCAUGAAUUUAUUUAAAAAAAAAGUUUACAACACCUUAAUAUAUAUUUAAGAAGAAGGUAAUAAUGCACUGCAGCAUAACAUACAUCAUGUAGAGUGUAUGAAUAUAUAAAGAUAGAAUAUCUUUAAAUUCUAAACUACACGAACAAAAUUUGGUUGCGUAUUAUAUUGUUUUUAAUUUUUAAAUAAAAAAAAAAAAUAAAAUUUAAAUUCAUGAAAGUUAAUCAAUAAAUAAUUACCUUUGAAAGAUGAAAUUUACCUCGGAAAUCAGCUUGCUAAUUUACAAUGGUCCUAAACGUCAAAAUCACGAAAACAUCUUCUCAUUAACACCAUGUUAUCUUUUGCAACAACUCUUAAUCUCGUGAUAGGAAAAUUGCACAAUUGAAGGACAACAAUUGUCUACAAGUGUUCAUCAAUUGUCCUAUUCAGACCCUUUGUGCAAUUUUAUUUGCUUUUAUUUUUUUUUUCAAUUUCAUUUUUUUUAAUAAGCUUUGAUUUCCUUUAUUUUUUAUUUAAUUAUCUCAAUCUCAUGAUUUGGACUUUAUAUUUGACAGGUUAACCUUAUUUGACUCACCUUUUAUUAUCUAGAUUACAAUUUUUUUAUGUUAACUUGCUUUGACUAAGAUUGAAAUGCAUCGUUUUUACCCAAUUACGUCCUUCCAUAUUUAUGAGUAAAGAAUUAAGAUGCGUUAUUUUUUCCUUUAAAAAAAAAAGGUUUCUUUUCCAAGUUAUCAUGAUUAUUUUUUGUAAAUGAUUUAUUUACUAUUAUUGCUUUUUAUAUCAUCUAAUUAAAAAAAACAAACUUAAUUGAUCUAAUCGAGUUUAUAACUCGAUUCAUGAAUUUUAUUUAAAAAAAUAUGUUUACAACACCUUAAUAUAUAUUUAAGAAGAAGGUAAUAAACACUGCACAUAACAUACAUCAGUAGAGUGUAUGAAAAUAUAAAGAUAGAAAUCUUUAAAUUCUAAACUACACGAACAAAAUUUGGUUGCGUAUUAUAUAAUUUUAUAAAAAUAAAAUAAAAAUAAUAAAAUUAAAUUCAUGAAAGUUUAAUCAAUAAAUAAUUACCUUUGAAAAGAUGAAAUUUAGCCUCGUGAAAUUCAGCUCUAAUUUUACAAUGGUCCUAAAACGUCAAAAUCACGAAAACAUCUUCUCAUUAACACCAUUAUCUUUUGCAACAACUCUUAAUCUCGGAUAGAAAAUUGCACAAUUGAAGGACAACAAUUGUCUACAAGUGUCAUCAAUUGUCCUAUUCAUUGACCCUUUUUGCAAUUUUAUUUGCUUUUAUUUUUUUUUUCAAUUUCAUUUUUUUAAUAAGCUUUGUGAUUUCUUUAUUUUUAUUUAAUUACUCAAUCUCAUGAUUGGACUUUAUAUUUGACAGGUUAACCUUAUUUGGACCACCUUUUAUUAUCUAGAUUACAAUUUUUUUAUGUUAACUUUGACUAAGAAUUGAAAUGCAUCGUUUUUUACCCAAUUACGUCCUUCCAUAUUUAUUGAGUAAAGAAUUAAGAUGCGUUAUUUUUUUCCUUUAAAAAAAAAGGUUUCUUUUCCAAGUUAUCAUGAUUAUUUUUUGUAAAUGAUUUAUUUACUAUUAUUGCUUUUUAUAUCAUCUAAUUAAAAUAAAACAAACUUAAUUGAUCUAAUCGAGUUUAUAACUCGAUUCAUGAAUUUUAUUUUAAAAAAAUAUGUUUACAACACCUUAAUAUAUAUUUUAAGAAGAAGGUAAUAAUUUAGCACUCCAGCAUAACAUACAUCAUGUAGAGUGUAUGAAUAUAUAAAGAUAGAAUAUCUUUAAAUUCUAAACUACACGAACAAAAUUUGGUUGCGUAUUAUAUUGUUUUUAAUUUUUAUAAAAUAAAAUAAAAAUAAUAAAAUUUAAAUUCAUGAAAGUUUAAUCAAUAAAUAAUUACCUUUGAAAGAUGAAAUUUAGCCUCGUGAAAUUCAGCUUGCUAAUUUUACAAUGGUCCUAAACGUCAAAAUCACGAAAACAUCUUCUCAUUAACACCAUGUUAUCUUUUGCAACAACUCUUAAUCUCGUGAUAGGAAAAUUGCACAAUUGAAGGACAACAAUUGUCUACAAGUGUUCAUCAAUUGUCCUAUUCAUUGACCCUUUUGUGCAAUUUUUAUUUGCUUUUUUUUUUUUUUCAAUUUCAUUUUUUUUUAAUAAGCUUUGUGAUUUCCUUUAUUUUUUUUAUUUAAUUAUCUCAAUCUCAUGAUUUGGACUUUAUAUUUGACAGGUUAACCUUAUUUGACUCACCUUUUAUUAUCUAGAUUACAAUUUUUUUUAUGUUAACUUGCUUUGACUAAGAAUUGAAAUGCAUCGUUUUUUACCCAAUUACGUCCUUCCAUAUUUAUUGAGUAAAGAAUUAAGAUGCGUUAUUUUUUUCCUUUAAAAAAAAAGGUUUCUUUUCCAAGUUAUCAUGAUUAUUUUUUGUAAAUGAUUUAUUUACUAUUAUUGCUUUUUAUAUCAUCUAAUUAAAAUAAAACAAACUUAAUUGAUCUAAUCGAGUUUAUAACUCGAUUCAUGAAUUUUAUUUUAAAAAAAUAUGUUUACAACACCUUAAUAUAUAUUUUAAGAAGAAGGUAAUAAUUUAGCACUCCAGCAUAACAUACAUCAUGUAGAGUAAAGAUAGAAUAUCUUUAAAUUUUAAACUACACGAACAAAAUUUGGUUGUAUAUUAUAUUGUUUUUAAUUUUUAUAAAAUAAAAUAAAAAUAAUAAGAUUUAAAUUCAUGAAAGUUUAAUCAAUAAAUAAUUACCUUUGAAAGAUGAAAUUUAGCCUCAUGAAAUUCAGCUUGCCAUUUUACAAUGGUCCUAAAUAUCAAAAUCUCGAAACCAUCUUCUCAUUAACACCAUGUUAUCUUUUGCAACAGCUCUUAAUCUCGUGAUAGGAACAUUGCACAAUUGAAGGACAACAAUUAUCUACAAGUGUUCAUCAAUUGUCCUAUUCAUUGACCCUUUUGUGCAAUUUUUAUUUGCUUUUAUUUUUUUUUUCUAUUUUUUUUUAAAUAAGCUUUGUGAUUUCCUUCAUUUUUUUUAUUUAAUUAUCUCAAUCUCAUGAUUUGGGCUUUAUAUUUGACAGGUUAACCUUAUUCGACUCACCUCUUAUUAUCUAGAUUACAAUUUUUUUAUGUUAACUCGCUUUGAUUAAGAAUUGAGAUGCAUCGUUUUUUACCCAAUUACGUCCUUCCAUAUUUAUUGACUAAGAAUUAAGAUGCAUUAUUUUUUUCCUUAAAAACAAAGGUUUCUUUUCCAAGUUAUCAUGAUUAUUUUUUGUAAAUGAUUUAUUUACUAUUAUUGCUUUUUAUAUCAUCUAAUUAAAAUAAAACAAACUUAAUUGAUCUAAUCGAGUUUAUAACUCGAUUCAUGAAUUUUAUUUAAAAAAAAAUAUGUUUACAACACCUUAAUAUAUAUUUUAAGAAGAAGGUAAUAAUUUAGCACUGCAGCAUAACAUACAUCAUGUAGAGUGUAUGAAUAUAUAAAGAUAGAAUAUCUUUAAAUUCUAAACUACACGAACAAAAUUUGGUUGCGUAUUAUAUUGUUUUUAAUUUUUAUAAAAUAAAAUAAAAAUAAUAAAAUUUAAAUUCAUGAAAGUUUAAUCAAUAAAUAAUUACCUUUGAAAGAUGAAAUUUAGCCUCGUGAAAUUCAGCUUGCUAAUUUUACAAUGGUCCUAAACGUCAAAAUCACGAAAACAUCUUCUCAUUAACACCAUGUUAUCUUUUGCAACAACUCUUAAUCUCGUGAUAGGAAAAUUGCACAAUUGAAGGACAACAAUUGUCUACAAGUGUUCAUCAAUUGUCCUAUUCAUUGACCCUUUGUGCAAUUUUUAUUUGCUUUUAUUUUUUUUUCAAUUUCAUUUUUUUUUAAUAAGCUUUGUGAUUUCCUUUUAUUUUUUUAUUUAAUUAUCUCAAUCUCAUGAUUUGGACUUUAUAUUUGACAGGUUAACCUUAUUCGACUCACCUUUUAUUAUCUAGAUUACAAUUUUUUUUAUGUUAACUUGCUUUGACUAAGAAUUGAAAUGCAUCGUUUUUUACCCAAUUACGUCCUUCCAUAUUUAUUGAGUAAAGAAUUAAGAUGCGUUAUUUUUUUCCUUUAAAAAAAAGGUUUCUUUUCCAAGUUAUCAUGAUUAUUUUUGUAAUGAUUUAUUUACUAUUAUUGCUUUUUAUAUCAUCUAAUUAAAAUAAAACAAACUUAAUUGAUCUAAUCGAGUUUAUAACUCGAUUCAUGAAUUUUAUUUUAAAAAAAAUAUGUUACAACACCUUAAUAUAAUAUUUUAAGAAGAAGGUAAUAAUUUAGCACUGCAGCAUAACAUACAUCAUGUAGAGUGUAUGAAUAUAUAAAGAUAGAAUAUCUUUAAAUUCUAAACUACACGAACAAAAUUUGGUUGCGUAUUAUAUUGUUUUUAAUUUUUAUAAAAUAAAAUAAAAAUAAUAAAAUUUAAAUUCAUGAAAGUUUAAUCAAUAAAUAAUUACCUUUGAAAGAUGAAAUUUAGCCUCGUGAAAUUCAGCUUGCUAAUUUUACAAUGGUUCUAAACGUCAAAAUCACGAAAACAUCUUCUCAUUAACACCAUGUUAUCUUUUGCAACAACUCUUAAUCUCGUGAUAGGAAAAUUGCACAAUUGAAGGACAACAAUUGUCUACAAGUGUUCAUCAAUUGUCCUAUUCAUUGACCCUUUUGUGCAAUUUUUAUUUGCUUUUAUUUUUUUUUUCAAUUUCAUUUUUUUUUAAUAAGCUUUGUGAUUUCUUUUAUUUUUUUUAUUUAAUUAUCUCAAUCUCAUGAUUUGGACUUUAUAUUUGACAGGUUAACCUUAUUUGACUCACCUUUUAUUAUCUAGAUUACAAUUUUUUUUAUGUUAACUUGCUUUGACUAAGAAUUGAAAUGCAUCGUUUUUUACCCAAUUACGUCCUUCCAUAUUUAUUGAGUAAAGAAUUAAGAUGCGUUAUUUUUUUCCUUUAAAAAAAAAGGUUUCUUUUCCAAGUUAUCAUGAUUAUUUUUUGUAAAUGAUUUAUUUACUAUUAUUGCUUUUUAUAUCAUCUAAUUAAAAUAAAACAAACUUAAUUGAUCUAAUCGAGUUUAUAACUCGAUUCAUGAAUUUUAUUUAAAAAAUAUGUUUACAACACCUUAAUAUAUAUUUUAAGAAGAAGGUAAUAAUUUAGCACUGCAGCAUAACAUACAUCAUGUAGAGUGUAUGAAUAUAUAAAGAUAGAAUAUCUUUAAAUUCUAAACUACACGAACAAAAUUUGGUUGCGUAUUAUAUUGUUUUUAAUUUUUAUAAAAUAAAAUAAAAAUAAUAAAAUUUAAAUUCAUGAAAGUUUAAUCAAUAAAUAAUUACCUUUGAAAGAUGAAAUUUAGCCUCGUGAAAUUCAGCUUGCUAAUUUUACAAUGGUCCUAAACGUCAAAAUCACGAAAACAUCUUCUCAUUAACACCAUGUUAUCUUUUGCAACAACUCUUAAUCUCGUGAUAGGAAAAUUGCACAAUUGAAGGACAACAAUUGUCUACAAGUGUUCAUCAAUUGUCCUAUUCAUUGACCCUUUUGUGCAAUUUUUAUUUGCUUUUAUUUUUUUUUUCAAUUUCAUUUUUUUUUAAUAAGCUUUGUGAUUUCCUUUAUUUUUUUUAUUUAAUUAUCUCAAUCUCAUGAUUUGGACUUUAUAUUUGACAGGUUAACCUUAUUUGACUCACCUUUUAUUAUCUAGAUUACAAUUUUUUUUAUGUUAACUUGCUUUGACUAAGAAUUGAAAUGCAUCGUUUUUUACCCAAUUACGUCCUUCCAUAUUUAUUGAGUAAAGAAUUAAGAUGCGUUAUUUUUUUCCUUUAAAAAAAAAAGGUUUCUUUUCCAAGUUAUCAUGAUUAUUUUUUGUAAAUGAUUUAUUUACUAUUAUUGCUUUUUAUAUCAUCUAAUUAAAAUAAAACAAACUUAAUUGAUCUAAUCGAGUUUAUAACUCGAUUCAUGAAUUUUAUUUUAAAAAAAUAUGUUUACAACACCUUAAUAUAUAUUUUAAGAAGAAGGUAAUAAUUUAGCACUCCAGCAUAACAUACAUCAUGUAGAGUAAAGAUAGAAUAUCUUUAAAUUUUAAACUACACGAACAAAAUUUGGUUGUAUAUUAUAUUGUUUUUAAUUUUUAUAAAAUAAAAUAAAAAUAAUAAGAUUUAAAUUCAUGAAAGUUUAAUCAAUAAAUAAUUACCUUUGAAAGAUGAAAUUUAGCCUCAUGAAAUUCAGCUUGCCAUUUUACAAUAGUCCUAAAUAUCAAAAUCUCGAAACCAUGUUCUUAUUAACACCAUGUUAUCUUUUGCAACAGCUCUUAAUCUCGUGAUAGGAACAUUGCAUAAUUGAAGGACAACAAUUGUCUACAAGUGUUCAUGAAUUGUCCUACUCAUUCACGGUUAAUCUUCAAAUCUCCAAGUAAAAUUCUUGUCAAUUCAAGUAAAUUUGCUCUGUUUCAUCUAAAGGUUUGCGUUUGCUAUUGGAUGCUGUCCCUAUAAGCACAAGAAUACAAACAGCAAAAAAAACAUAUUUUUUGAUGCUUUUAUUGCGUUUUUUAUUGGGCCUCAAAUACAAACCUGCCGGCUCAACCAAACACACUCGAGCUAAUUCCUCCCUUCAAUCCAUUAAUUGAUUGAAACUUAACUAUCCUAGUCUUGACUCGUAAAUCAAGUCUCAUUCUUGGUUUUGUUUUUUUUUUAGUGACCAGAUGUGAAGGUCCAUGCACUUCUAACAUGUCGACAAAGGAUCGACCUAACGUUUUGGCCUUUUCAACAACGUGUGCUAAUUUAGUUUUUUCUAGAAAAAAGUGAUGGAGGGUGUUCAAUUCAAGAUUUUAAUUAUAAUUUGUUGAUGUUAAAUUAGAUUUAAUGAAUGAUCUUGUAUUCAAUAAACUCUAGCUUAUAUAAUUAUGUUUUUAUUUACUUUUGGAUUAUGAACUAUCAAAGCAAGUACAUUACUUGCUGGGUUUCUUUUAAUCAAAACAUUAAGCAAAAUGUCAUUUGCAUAGAAGGGAACAUUUCAUCAACUUUCUACUACAUUUAGAAAACACAAAAGCUGUUUUAUUGCAUAACUUGUAUGAAUAACUAGAAAACAUUAUCAUAUUUCUUAUUAAAAUCAAAUUCAGUACAAUACUGGUCCAGUAAAGACAUUGAUAUAUGAUGCUCAAACCAAUUACAUAUCUCUAGCUAAUUAAUCCCAUGGUGUCCCUUUCCUUUCCCUUUUCUCGAGGAGAGUGGAAGAGGUGGGAUGCUCUGCUCAUGCCUGAAGAAGUUGUCGGGAUCAACUUUGGUCUUGGCUUGUACCAACCUGUUGAAGUUGCUCUUGAAGUACUUGGUACCCCAGACACUUGCUUCUUUAACGCUUGUGUUCCUCUUCUUGUUCAUCCCCAGAUCAAGGUCCCUGUAAUUGACAUAUGCUUGCCUUGGAAACAUGGAAACAUAAGGUGCCAUGUAGUUGUAAAGCUUCCUGAUCCAAUUUAUAUGCUUUGAAGCAUCCUCUGAAGGAGUUUGCCAGCUGGUCAAGUACUGGAUCUUGAAGAGGAUACCUUUUCUGUGUGGGAAAGGAAUUGAUGACUCUGAAAUCUUGCUCAUCAUUCCACCGUAAGGAUUCCAUAUCAUGAAAGGAGUCACUUCUUGAAAAUACCUUUUCCAUAUACCCUCCAGUGCGGUUUCAGGUAUGGGAUGUUGGACAAAAUCUGACUUGGCUUUGAAGUAGUUCUUGAAUGUUGACUUUCCCUGAAGCAGAACUUCAGGAGGUGUAUUGGCUGGGUAGCCUGCGAUGUAUAACACGGAUUUCAGCCAGGUAGUUUCGACGCAAUCCUUUCGUGUCAAGCCCAAUUCAGGGAAGCCAGUCUUCAUGACAUCGAGCAGUCUGCUGGCAUCACCAAGAAACAAGGCAUUGUAAGAAGUUGUAACAGUUCUUUGACCCUUUUUCGUACCAUUAGCUGCUUGUAUGAUGACUCUGAUGAAGAGAUCCUCAUCAAGUUUAUCAGCAACUUGCUGCCAUCUGUAGAGAAGCUUAGUGCCACCCUGUUCCAGGGUCUUGGUAACUGUAAAAACAGUCACAGUUGAUGGAACUGGAACCAGUUUUACUUUCCAUGCAGUAAUGAUACCAAAGCUGGCUCCUCCACCUCCCCUAAUUGCCCAAAAAACAUCCUCUCCCAUGGAUUGUCUUUCAAGAACCCUGCCACUAGCAUCAAUUAUACGAGCAUCAAUGACAUUGUCAGCACCAAGGCCAUACUUUCUCAUCAUGGAACCGUAAGCACCUCCUGUAAUGUGCCCACCAAUGCCUAAACUGCUGCAAAGGCCAGCUGGGAAGCCAUGAGUUUUGCUUUUUUCAGCAAUUCUAUAGUAAAGCUCACCGAUUGUAGCA